AUGUCAAGUUGCUCAGUUGUCCCUCUUACUUUACCACAAUGGGAAGGCAGAUCACGAAGAAUUCGCUUCAUUUACAUGUCAAAUUCGACAUCGUUCAGACUGAAACUAUGUCCCAAAAAGGGUCCAGUGAUUCCUCUCUAUUUAGGAGCUGAUGUAUUGUCCAACACUGAUGUAAGAACAGAGAACCAUCCUAGGUACCACGCCAAGUUUGCAAAAAAAGGACUGGCCACAAAAAUACAUUUUUCCCCAGCUUUUAGGUUUCAUGGGUUAAAGGUUACAACCACAAAUAACAGCCUUUGGUUCUACAGUGUUCAAGGACUUUUCAGAGUAGCCUUUGAAAUGUACAGUAAGCAAGAACAGCUUUCUGUUUUGGAGAGUUUUCAGGAUGUCUGGAAAUCACAGAUAAGUGACAGCCCUCUGAAAAUGAGUUACAGCCUCAGUGAGAACCUUGACUUUUCAGUGCCCACUGGGAGUGACACACAAUUAAGGCAUUACCAGUUUGCCAAGGCAACAGCUGAUCUAUGUGGCAAUAACACAGACGAUACGUCCGCUGAUCAUGAUUAUUGCUCUUUUCCUAAGCUGAGCUCCCAGACUGAAGGGAAGCAACAAGAUUUAUUGACAGUGAGACAAAAACUCCACAGGUUAGAUCAUAGACUCUCCUCUGAGUUGUCAGGUUACACCGAUCAGCUAGAAACUAUUUUGUUACUUUUGGACAGCGUUGAUCGAUACAUAAACGGACAUCUAGAAGAAAAAGGUGUGUCAGAAACAGUCCUAGCCCUGCUAAAGGCCAAAGACUGGGGCUCUGUGUAUUCAAGCUCUCUGCUCAGUUGUAUAGGACGCUGGCUUGGUGAGCAGUUCCACGCAGCAAACAGCUGCAUCAGCCGAAAAGUGGAGGACUUUAAAGUUCAGCACAUUGAACAAAUAAGCAACUUGCCACCUGCCGAGGAACUGGCCACGGAACUUUUCCCAGAAGCCAUGCGGACAUUGCUCCUUCACUGGAUGGGCCUAAGUGAGGAGUCUACGCUGGAAAAGAGACACAGCGAAUACCCAAUCCUGCUCCUUAUCCUCGAGUUUGCAAACCACAACCUCAUUACUGGUGUUGCUCAUGUGCUGUACUCUAGUCUUAUAUGUAAAUAA
This 1137-nucleotide long non-coding RNA is filed under the name Betta splendens (Siamese fighting fish). RNAcentral describes it as "lncRNA (ENSBSLG00000016201.1)". The record is from RNAcentral. Lineage: Eukaryota; Metazoa; Chordata; Actinopteri; Anabantiformes; Osphronemidae.